Molecule: ribosomal RNA, 886 nt
Filed under: uncultured bacterium
Lineage: Bacteria
Description: bacterial SSU rRNA
Rfam family: Bacterial small subunit ribosomal RNA
Source: RNAcentral
GUGCCAGCAGCCGCGGUAAUACGUAGGGGGCAAGCGUUAUCCGGAAUUAUUGGGCGUAAAGAGUGCGUAGGCGGUUUUUUAAGCGCGGGGUGAAAGGCAAUGGCUCAACCAUUGUUAGCCCUGCGAACUGGGAGACUUGAGUGCAGGAGAGGAAAGCGGAAUUCCUAGUGUAGCGGUGAAAUGCGUAGAUAUUAGGAGGAACACCAGUGGCGAAGGCGGCUUUCUGGACUGUAACUGACGCUGAGGCACGAAAGUGUGGGGAGCAAACAGGAUUAGAUACCCUGGUAGUCCACACCGUAAACGAUGAGCACUAGGUGUCGGGUCCGCAAGGAUUCGGUGCCGCAGUUAACGCAUUAAGUGCUCCGCCUGGGGAGUACGCACGCAAGUGUGAAACUCAAAGGAAUUGACGGGGACCCGCACAAGCAGCGGAGCAUGUGGUUUAAUUCGAGGCAACGCGAAGAACCUUACCAGGACUUGACAUCCCUCUGACAGCCUCUUAACCGAGGCCUUCUACGGACAGAGGAGACAGGUGGUGCAUGGUUGUCGUCAGCUCGUGUCGUGAGAUGUUGGGUUAAGUCCCGCAACGAGCGCAACCCUUGUCAUUAGUUGCCAUCAUUAAGUUGGGCACUCUAGUGAGACUGCCGGGGACAACUCGGAGGAAGGUGGGGAUGACGUCAAAUCAUCAUGCCCCUUAUGUUCUGGGCUACACACGUGCUACAAUGGCCGGUACAAAGAGCAGCAAAACUGCGAAGUGGAGCAAAUCUCAAAAACCGGUCCCAGUUCGGAUUGUAGGCUGCAACUCGCCUACAUGAAGUCGGAGUUGCUAGUAAUCGUGGAUCAGAAUGCCACGGUGAAUGCGUUCCCGGGUCUUGUACACACCGCCCGU